This 347-nucleotide unclassified non-coding RNA is filed under the name Hevea brasiliensis (rubber tree). Lineage: Eukaryota; Viridiplantae; Streptophyta; Magnoliopsida; Malpighiales; Euphorbiaceae. The record is from RNAcentral.
GCAGAACUCAUUUGGUUUAUAAGUAUUUUGUUUGGUAUCCUUAUUUGAGGUUUGGGUGGUUGGGAAAUAAAUAGAAUUUGAAAUGUGUGAGUGAGAAGGUGUGUGAAAAAGAAAGUGAAGGAGGGAAGAAUGAAAGACUUUCGAAGGAGAUAAAAUAAGUUUCUAUUAUCUUAAUUAUAUCUAAUAUUCAUGAAUAAAUGAUUUUAACUUUUGACAUUCCUAAAAUUGCUUCUCCAUUUGGUUCUCGGAAAAUAUACAAUCUCCUUUUUGCUCUUUUUCUUUUCCUGAGUUUCUUAGGUAAUUUGGUGUGUUUCUUUUUGUGUUAUGGAAAUGUUUGUAGGAGGUGG